RNAcentral lists this ribosomal RNA (497 nucleotides) under uncultured bacterium. Its description in RNAcentral is "partial 16S ribosomal RNA". It matches the Rfam family "Bacterial small subunit ribosomal RNA", at positions 28 to 507 of the family's 1533-position model. The record is from RNAcentral.
GAUGAACGCUGGCGGCGUGCCUAAUACAUGCAAGUCGAGCGAACGGACGAGAAGCUUGCUUCUCUGAUGUUAGCGGCGGACGGGUGAGUAACACGUGGAUAACCUACCUAUAAGACUGGGAUAACUUCGGGAAACCGGAGCUAAUACCGGAUAAUAUUUUGAACCGCAUGGUUCAAAAGUGAAAGACGGUCUUGCUGUCACUUAUAGAUGGAUCCGCGCUGCAUUAGCUAGUUGGUAAGGUAACGGCUUACCAAGGCAACGAUGCAUAGCCGACCUGAGAGGGUGAUCGGCCACACUGGAACUGAGACACGGUCCAGACUCCUACGGGAGGCAGCAGUAGGGAAUCUUCCGCAAUGGGCGAAAGCCUGACGGAGCAACGCCGCGUGAGUGAUGAAGGUCUUCGGAUCGUAAAACUCUGUUAUUAGUGAAGAACAUAUGUGUAAGUAACUGUGCACAUCUUGACGGUACCUAAUCAGAAAGCCACGGCUAACUACGUG